This 441-nucleotide ribosomal RNA is filed under the name Bdellovibrio bacteriovorus. Its description in RNAcentral is "bacterial SSU rRNA". It matches the Rfam family "Bacterial small subunit ribosomal RNA", at positions 56 to 523 of the family's 1533-position model. Lineage: Bacteria; Pseudomonadati; Bdellovibrionota; Bdellovibrionia; Bdellovibrionales; Pseudobdellovibrionaceae. The record is from RNAcentral.
UGCAAGUCGAACGAGGUAGCAAUACCUAGUGGCGCACGGGUGAGUAACGCGUGGAUAAUCUGCCUUUGAGUGGGGGAUAACUAGUCGAAAGAUUAGCUAAUACCGCAUAAGACCACAGGAACUGAGGUUCUAGGGGUUAAAGGUUUUUCGCUCAUAGAUGAGUCCGCGUGAGAUUAGCUAGUUGGUGAGGUAACGGCUCACCAAGGCGACGAUCUCUAACUGGUCUGAGAGGAUGAUCAGUCACACUGGAACUGAGACACGGUCCAGACUCCUACGGGAGGCAGCAGUAGGGAAUAUUGCACAAUGGAGGAAACUCUGAUGCAGCGACGCCGCGUGAGUGAUGAAGGCCUUCGGGUCGUAAAGCUCUGUCGCAGGGGAAUAACACAAUGAAUGUACCCUGUAAGAAAGGAUCGGCUAACUUCGUGCCAGCAGCCGCGGUAA